Molecule: small nuclear RNA, 302 nt
Filed under: Sorex araneus (European shrew)
Lineage: Eukaryota; Metazoa; Chordata; Mammalia; Eulipotyphla; Soricidae
Description: 7SK RNA (ENSSARG00000018727.1)
Rfam family: 7SK RNA
About the family: 7SK was discovered as an abundant small nuclear RNA in the mid-70s but a possible function has only recently been suggested. Two independent studies have found that 7SK RNA binds the CDK9/cyclin T complex (known as elongation factor P-TEFb). P-TEFb activates transcription by phosphorylating the C-terminal domain of RNA polymerase II.
Source: RNAcentral
GGAUAAAAGUGAUCUGGCUAUGGCCUCUAUCACUCCAGUUAAUUGCCAAGGUUGAUUGGGCUGCUCUGGUUGGCUGGUGUCCACUUCCUCCCUUACCACUCCAAGAGCCUCACUCCCAAAGCCACACACAUGGUCAAAAAUGAUGGCUCUGCGCUACUUAGACAUGGACUAUUCUUUGGUCUGUAAUAUAGAAUUGCAUUCCCCUGCUAGUACCACCAAGCUCUCAAGAUUCACCUAUGAAAAUACAAUGAAUUAUUUUAUAAGUUACAUUACAAUAAAUAGGCUGGCCAUCAGUAGUUAUU